UAAUUGAGAGUUUGAUCCUGGCUCAGGAUGAACGCUGGCGGCGUGCCUAACACAUGCAAGUCGAGCGAGAAAUAAAGGAAUGAAGCUUCGGUAGAUUUUCUUUAUGGAAAGCGGCGGACGGGUGAGUAACGCGUAGGCAACCUGCCCUGUACAGGGGGAUAGCCACCCGAAAAGGUGAUUAAUACCCCAUAACGCAAGAGAUACACAUGUAUCACUUGUCAAAGAUUUAUCGGUAUAGGAUGGGCCUGCGUCUGAUUAGCUAGUUGGUAGGGUAACGGCUUACCAAGGCAACGAUCAGUAGCCGACCUGAGAGGGUGAUCGGCCACAUUGGAACUGAGACACGGUCCAAACUCCUACGGGAGGCAGCAGUGGGGAAUAUUGCACAAUGGGCGCAAGCCUGAUGCAGCAACGCCGCGUGAAGGAUGAAGGCCUUCGGGUUGUAAACUUCUGUCCUAGGGGAAGAAACAAAUGACAUUACCCUUGGAGGAAGCCCCGGCUAACUACGUGCCAGCAGCCGCGGUAAUACGUAGGGGGCGAGCGUUAUCCGGAAUUAUUGGGCGUAAAGAGUGCGUAGGUGGCACCUUAAGCGCAGGGUUUAAGGCAAUGGCUCAACCAUUGUUCGCCUUGCGAACUGGGGUGCUUGAGUGCAGGAGGGGAAAGUGGAAUUCCUAGUGUAGCGGUGAAAUGCGUAGAUAUUAGGAGGAACACCAGUGGCGAAGGCGACUUUCUGGACUGUUACUGACACUGAGGCACGAAAGCGUGGGGAGCAAACAGGAUUAGAUACCCUGGUAGUCCACGCCGUAAACGAUGAGCACUAGGUGUCGGGGUCGCAAGACUUCGGUGCCGCAGUUAACGCAUUAAGUGCUCCGCCUGGGGAGUACGCACGCAAGUGUAAAACUCAAAGGAAUUGACGGGGACCCGCACAAGCAGCGGAGCAUGUGGUUUAAUUCGAAGCAACGCGAAGAACCUUACCAGGACUUGACAUCCUCUUGACAGAUCCUUAAUCGGAUCCUUCUUCGGACAAGAGAGACAGGUGGUGCAUGGUUGUCGUCAGCUCGUGUCGUGAGAUGUUGGGUUAAGUCCCGCAACGAGCGCAACCCUUGCCAUUAGUUGCCAUCAUUUAGUUGGGCACUCUAGUGGGACUGCCGGGGAAAACUCGGAGGAAGGUGGGGAUGACGUCAAAUCAUCAUGCCCCUUAUGUUCUGGGCUACACACGUGCUACAAUGGCCGGUACAACAGGCAGCGAACCCGUGAGGGGGAGCGAAUCCCAAAAGCCGGUCCCAGUUCGGACUGUAGGCUGCAACUCGCCUACACGAAGUUGGAGUUGCUAGUAAUCGCGGAUCAGAAUGCCGUGGUGAAUGCGUUCCCGGGUCUUGUACACACCGCCCGUCACACCAUGGAAGUUGGGGGUGCCCGAAGUCGGUUAGUUAAUCUAUCGCCUAAGGCAAAACCAAUGACUGGGGUGAAGUCGUAACAAGGUAGCCGUAUCGGAAGGUGCGGCUGGAUCACCUCCUUUCUA
RNAcentral lists this ribosomal RNA (1519 nucleotides) under Eubacterium sulci ATCC 35585. RNAcentral describes it as "bacterial SSU rRNA". It matches the Rfam family "Bacterial small subunit ribosomal RNA". The record is from RNAcentral. Lineage: Bacteria; Bacillati; Bacillota; Clostridia; Peptostreptococcales; Anaerovoracaceae.